Molecule: ribosomal RNA, 720 nt
Filed under: uncultured bacterium
Lineage: Bacteria
Description: bacterial SSU rRNA
Rfam family: Bacterial small subunit ribosomal RNA
Source: RNAcentral
UCCAGCCAUGCCGCGUGGGUGAAGAAGGCCUUAGGGUUGUAAAACCCUUUCAGCGGGGAAGAUGAUGACGGUACCCGCAGAAGAAGCCCCGGCUAACUCCGUGCCAGCAGCCGCGGUAACACGGAGGGGGCUAGCGUUGUUCGGAAUUACUGGGCGUAAAGGGCGUGUAGGCGGUUUGCCGAGUCAGGCGUGAAAGCCCCGGGCUUAACCUGGGAACUGCGCUUGAUACUGGCAGGCUAGAGGUUGGAAGAGGAGAGUGGAAUUCCCAGUGUAGAGGUGAAAUUCGUAGAUAUUGGGAAGAACACCAGUGGCGAAGGCGGCUCUCUGGUCCACACCUGACGCUGAGGAGCGAAAGCGUGGGGAGCGAACAGGCUUAGAUACCCUGGUAGUCCACGCUGUAAACGGUGGGUACUAGGUGUGGGGUCCAUUCCACGGGUUCCGUGCCGUAGCUAACGCUUUAAGUACCCCGCCUGGGGAGUACGGCCGCAAGGCUAAAACUCAAAGGAAUUGACGGGGCCCCGCACAAGCGGCGGAGCAUGCGGAUUAAUUCGAUGCAACGCGUAGAACCUUACCUGGGUUUGACAUGGAUCGGGAGUGCUCAGAGAUGGGUGUGCCUCUUUUGGGGUCGGUUCACAGGUGGUGCAUGGCUGUCGUCAGCUCGUGUCGUGAGAUGUUGGGUUAAGUCCCGCAACGAGCGCAACCCUUGUUCACUGUUGCCAG